ACAUCCAGAGAUUUAGCAGAGAUGCUUUAGUGCCUUCGGGAACUCUGAGACAGGUGCUGCAUGGCUGUCGUCAGCUCGUGUUGUGAAAUGUUGGGUUAAGUCCCGNAACGAGCGCAACCCUUAUCCUUUGUUGCCAGCACGUAAUGGUGGGAACUCAAAGGAGACUGCCGGUGAUAAACCGGAGGAAGGUGGGGAUGACGUCAAGUCAUCAUGGCCCUUACGAGUAGGGCUACACACGUGCUACAAUGGCGCAUACAAAGAGAAGCGACCUCGCGAGAGCAAGCGGACCUCAUAAAGUGCGUCGUAGUCCGGAUUGGAGUCUGCAACUCGACUCCAUGAAGUCGGAAUCGCUAGUAAUCGUAAAUCAGAAUGUUACGGUGAAUACGUUCCCGGGCCUUGUACACACCGCCCGUCACACCAUGGGAGUGGGUUGCAAAAGAAGUAGAUAGCUUAACCUUCGGGAGGGCGUUUACCACUUUGUGAUUCAUGACUGGGGUGAAGUCGUAACAAGGUAGGCGUAGUGCU
Molecule: ribosomal RNA, 525 nt
Filed under: uncultured bacterium
Lineage: Bacteria
Description: bacterial SSU rRNA
Rfam family: Bacterial small subunit ribosomal RNA
Source: RNAcentral